AUACGGAGGGUGCGAGCGUUAUCCGGAUUUAUUAGGUUUAAAGGGUGUGUAGGCGGGAGCCUAAGUCAGUGGUGAAAUCUCACAGCUUAACUGUGAAACUGCCAUUGAAACUGGGUUUCUUGAGUAUAGUUGAGGUAGGCGGAAUGUGUAAUGUAGCGGUGAAAUGUAUAGAUAUUACACAGAACACCGAUUGCGAAGGCAGCUUACUAAGCUAUUACUGACGCUGAUGCACGAAAGCGUGGGUAGCGAACAGGAUUAGAAACCCGGGUAGUCC
RNAcentral lists this ribosomal RNA (274 nucleotides) under uncultured bacterium. RNAcentral's name for it is "partial 16S ribosomal RNA". It matches the Rfam family "Bacterial small subunit ribosomal RNA", at positions 523 to 796 of the family's 1533-position model. The record is from RNAcentral.